GUGUGUGUCCUCCAGGAGCUGCGGGGACCCCUGCGGCCGGACCUUGCGACCCGUUUUCCAAUCCCGCGGUGGCGACGGCGACAGCAACGGUAAUAGUAUCGCCAGGAGAAAACAGGUACUGAGCCCUCCGCCAGCCAGGACAGUGCCAAACGGCUUAGCUGUAUCCUCAUUGGAUCCUUACUAGGAGCCCAGAGGUUGAGUGACUUCUCCAGGGUCACCGGGUCAGCCCCGCCAGCUGAGUCCAGAGCUGAUACAGAGGACAGAGACAGUAGGAGGUGGAUACGCUCAUCGGUCUACCCUUCACAGAUGGAGAAACUGAGGCCCAGAGAGGUGAAGUGACUUGUCCAAGGUCACACAGCUGCCAACGGCACAAGUGGGAUCUGAACCCAUGACCCAUCUGCGCCAGAGGGGUCAUGGCGGGAAGACUCCAGUCUCCAUCCCAAACCGUUGUCACCCCCCACAUAGGUAGAAAGCACCUUGCCAUUUUCUCCAUCAUCUUUAGCAGCACUCAAAUAACCAGGUUUUUGAUCCUCUUAGAGGUAAACUGAGGCCUGGAGACAUAUCUUCCUCAACUCAGGUGGGGGUUACAUGGGGCAAACCCAUGUUAAGUUGAAAAUAUCCUAUGUUGAAAAUGCAUUUAGGGGGCACCUGGGUGGUUCAGUCCGUUAAGUGGCCAACUUUGGCUCUUGUCAUGAUGUUCGGGUCAUGAUCUUGGCUUCAUGAGUUCGAGCCCCACAUUGGGCUCUCUGCUGUCAGAGCAGAGCCCGCUUUGGAUCCUCUCUCUCCCUCUCUCUGCCCUCCCCUGCUUGUACUCUCUCUCUCUUUCUCUCUCUCUCUCAAAAUUAAAUAAACAUUAAAAAAAAAAAAGAAAAUGCAUUUAGUAUAUCUAAGAUACAGAACAUCACAGCUUAGCCUAGCCCACCUUAAAUGUACUAAGAACACAUACAUUAGCCUACAGCUGGGCAAAAUCAGAUCUAACACAAAGCCUACUUUGUAAUAAAGUGUUGAAUAUGUCCCGUAAUUUGUUGAAUAUUGUACUGAAACUGAAAAACAGAAUGGUUGUUAAGCAAUUUUAACUGCUCUUGAUUAUGUGACCAACUGGGAGCUACAGCUUGCUGCAUGGUGAGAAAGUAUCAUAGGGCAUAUCGCUAGCCUGGGACAAGAUCCAAAUUGAAAAUUCCAAGUCCAGUUUCUACAGAAUGCAUAUAGCUUUCACCCCAUCGUGAAAUCAAAAAAUUGUAAGUCAAGCCAUCAUUUAAGUCUGGAACCACCUGUAGUGAUAAUUAACAGGCAUUCACAGUCAUGGGACUUCCUAAAGGCAUGUUCUUAGCAAUGAACAUGAAUUAACUUAAAUGCUCACAACAACCCCAUGAAGUUAGUAUUAUUAUCAUGAUCCCCAUUUUGUGGUUGAGGAAACUGAGCCCCAGAGAGGCAGAGUGAUUUGUCAGGGAUUACGGAGGCAGUAGGGCUACAAACCACUCUUUGAACUCAGGCAGACCGGGAAGGAAGGAAUCUGUAACGCUGACCAUUUUGCCAUAUUGCCUCAGCACUGUUUAAUGUACAGGUAGUUAGUGACAGAGGAGCUGGGACUGGGGCCUGAGUGUCUAAGCUUUCACUGUGACACCAGCAAUGCCUUUCCUUCCUUCUCUCCCUCUUAAUCCUUUGCCUGAUGUAUAGUUUCCAUUACACACACACACACGCACACACACACACACACACACACACACACCCCAGUUGCACCAAAUAAAACAGGAAUGGUGAUUGAAUGUGAGAGACCCCCCCCACCCCCACCCCUGCCAAGGACUUAGGGAGAUAGGAUUGGUUUCUGUGAUUUUUUUAUUGGCCGAGGCUCCCCUCAGGGUGAGUUUUUAAGGGAUAAUUUCUUUCAAGUGAUAAUGCUCCUUGGCUGGUUGCUUUGAGAUUUAUACAUCUAACGAAUACUUAUUGAGCAUCUAUUAUACGCCAGGGCUUGCUAGGAACAAGAGAAAGUUGCUGUUCCUAUGCAGUUCGCAGUCUUAGGGUUGGGUUUUUUGUUGUUGUUGUUGUUGUUGUUUGAUUUUUUUAAGUUAUCUUUAAACCCAACAUGGGGCUCGAAUUCAUGACCCCAAGAUCAAGAGUCAGAUGCUCUACUCACUGAGUCUCAGAGUGCCCCCAAAGUGUUGGGGGUUUUUUAAAGUAUUUUUUAUGGUAGGAGGGCAGGUUAAUUAAAUAAUCACAUAAAGCAAAGGCUAUUUACAGCUUUGGUAGAAGCUGGGAAGAAAAAGUGGAAGAGGGCCANNNNNNNNNGGGCCCCGGCCUGCUGGCAGUGGAGGUCAAGGAAGGCUUCUGGGGGGAAGGAGUUUAUGCACUGAGAUGCAAGCGAUGAGUCCAGUCUUGGGCCUGGAUUGUGUUCCAGGCUGCAGAAAACAGCUUACGGAAAAGCCAUGAAACAGGACAGAGCAGGCCGUCAGUAGAACUAGAAGAUGGUCUGGGUGGCAGGAAUCCAGAGAGUGAAGCAGAUGGGACCCAUCUGGGGCAAGACAGAUCAGAAGGCUUGCAGGAUCUUUUUGGUCAACGGGGGGGGGGGGGGGGGGGGGGGGGGGNGGCCCUAAGAGCAACGGGGAGCCACUGUUGGUUUCAAGUGGGGCAAAACGGACAUUUUCCAUUUUCGUAUGAACGUUUUGUUCAUUAAUUCUUUCAACAAAUAUUGAUUAAGCAAACAUAUGAAAGGGUUCUUAACAUCAUCAGGGAAAUGCAAAAAAAAAAACCCAAAAAACAAGAAACAAAACAAACAAACCCAAACCCAGCCAUUACAAUUUACCAGAGUGACAGAAAUGAAAAUACCAAGCUUCAGCAAAGAUACGGAAGUAAAACUCCUCUGUUAGCGGGGAUGGACGUUGGUUCAACCACUUUGGAAAGCUGCUAGAUAAUUUCUGCUGAAGCUAAACAUAGGAUUACACAGGGGCACAGCAACUCCACUGCUUUCUGGGAGAUGGGAGUGCUUAUGUUCACUGAAAAACAUCUAUAAAAAAUGUUCAUAAGAGCUUUGUUCAAAAAGCCCAAAACUAGAUGUCACUGAGUGGCCCAUCCGUAGUCAAAAGGGUGAAUGAAUUGUGCCCUAUGCACACAAUAGAUCACUACACAGCCAAAAAAAUUAAAAAAAAAAAAAAAAAAAGAAUCAGACUGCUGGGGUGCCUGGGUGGCUCAGUUGGUUAAGCGUCUGACUCUUCGUUUCGGCUGGGGUCAUGAUCUCCCAGUUCAUGGGUUCGAGCCCCGAACUCUCUCUCCCUGAUUCUCUCUCUCUCUCCCUCUCUCUCCGCCCCUCCCUGGCUUUCUCUCUUUCUCAAAAUAAAUAAAUAAACUUCAAAAAUCUUAAAAAUUAGAAAAGAAUCAAACUGCUAACACAUAUAACAGAAAGAAAGAAUGGAAUCUCACCAAACGCAGGAAGGAGCAGAAAAAGCUAGGCACAAAAGAGUACAUUUGUUCACAACACCGUUUAUAGGAGGAUCAAACACAGUCACCGCUAAUAGAUUUUAAAUGUUUUUCUUUAAAUGUUUAUUUUUAUUUUUGAGAGAGCAUGAGCAGGGGAGGGGCAGAGAGAGAGGGGGACAGAGACUCUGAAGCAGGCUCUGUGCUGAUGGCAGGAAGCCUGAUGGGGGGCUCGAACCCACGAACCGUGAGAUCAUGGCCUAAGCCGAAGUCAGACACGCAACUGACUGAGCCACCCAGGCGCCCCACAACUAAUAGAUUUUGAUUAGAGUCAGAAUAAUGGUUACGUGUGAAGGGGGUAUUGAUUAGGAAGGGAUACAAGAGAAACUCCUCAGUAGCUGGUAAAGUUCUAUAACUGGAUCUGGUGGUAGUUCCAUGGUUUACACAUACACAUUUUAAAAUUCACUGAGCUAGAUGCUCAGGGUGGUUGUACUUUGCUCUAGAAAAGUUACACCUAAUGCAGAAACGUUAAAUAGAGAAUGAAUAAAUGCUAAGUAUGAGUAAUAAAUAACGAGCAUACCAUUUUCCAGGAAUAGGCAAGGUAAUGAGCAAGGUCCCAUAGCUGGGAUGUGGCAAAGACAAGGCCCAGCCCUGCUCUGACCUGCCAAGCCCUCCCCGUGCUUCUCCCGCAGCCAUAGACCCGAAGGCCUUCCCUUCUCUUCUCUGUCCCCUUCCUCCCCAUCUUCAGCCCUUGUACAAUUAAGAAACACCCUAGACCAAGAGGCUCUGGGCCCUGAGCCAAACCCACCCAGUGGACAGCCUACAAAAUAAAGGAUGAUGAAAAUGCAGGAUGGAGAUUUCAAGCACCAGCCCCUCUGCUAGUACGUGAUUCAGUGAAUCCAGCCGACAAGAAUGCCCAAGAGAUCCUUUUUAGUUCUCCCUGAAUCCUAGCACCCUGUUCCUGUCGGUUUAUUUUAUAGUACUGGUCACUAUUUGCAACCAUUUAAUUGCUCAUUUGCUCCACAGAGGCCUCCCCAGCCACACUGGAAGGUACCAGCCAUUGCUGUCGCUCUCGGGGACUGCUACACCAGCCUCCUUCCUGGUGUCCUGUGCUUGCCCCUUCCCACUACCAUCAGCAGCCAGAGGGGUCCUGUUAAAAGCAAGGCACCUACACACCGCCCCCCUACCCCCCCGCACAGAACCUGCAAUGGCCUCCCCACCAUGCUUAGUCCACAACCCGACCAGAUACCAUCCAGCAAUUCCAUUUCUGGGUCAGCACCCACAAGAAUUGAACGCAGGGACCCAAACAGAUAUUUGCACCCUAAGUUGAUAGCAUCAUUAUUCCGGAGAGCCAAGCAAUGGAAGCCAUCCAAGUGUCUGCCCACUGAUGAAUAAAGCAAAUGUGGCCUCUGCAUACGAUGGAAAAUGACUCAGCCUUAAAAACGAAAGAAAUGUUGACACAGGCUACAAACUCUGAGCCUUGAAGAUGCUGUGCUAAAUGAGAUAAGGCAGUCAAAGAAGGGCCGAUAUGGUGUGAGUUCUCAGAGUAUUCAAAUUCGUGGGGAUGAAGAGUAGAAUGGUGGUUGGCAGGGGCUGUGGGGAGGGGAGAAGUGGGGAGUUCGUGUUUAAUGGAUGUGAACUUGGAGUUCUGCAAGAGGAGAGCACGCUGGGGAUGGACGUGGUAAGAUCUGCCCAACAGUGUGGACGUGCUUCAUGCCACAGAAACGUCCCCUUAAAAAAUGCUUAAGAUGCUUGGGGUCACCUGGGUGGCUCAGGUCAUGAUCUGCAGGUUCGUGAGUUCCAGCCCCAUGUUGGGCUCUGUGCUGACAGCUCAGAGCCUGGAGCCUGCUUCGGAUUCUGUGUCUCCCUGUCUCUCUGCCCCUCGCCCACUCACUCUCUGUCUCUCUCUCAAAAAUAAAUAAGUAUUUUGUUGUGUGUAUUUUGCCACAAUAAAAGAAAUUAGAAUAAAAGAAGCAAAAUAGAGCAGUUAAAAAAAAAAUCCUACGAGGCGGCCCCGUGUGACCAAGCCCCUGGCCAUCUCCAACGUCAUCUUAUACCUCUUUGUCCUCAGUCCCUGUUCAGCAGGCACACGGAGGGCUUUCUGUCUCUCGAACACGCCAAGCUCAUUCUCACCUCCUGCCUUCAACUCCUGCUAAGCCCUCUGCCUGGAGCCUUCUUCCCCCAGAUCUUCAAGUGGCCCUUGCUUCCCCUCAGGGCUCCCAGAGGCUUUCCCUAAUUGACUUACGCUGAGUAACCCCACUCCCUCUAACUCACCACCUGCUUUAUUUUCAUGCUAGCAUUUAACACUACCUGAAAACGCUUAAUUGGCUCUUCUCUCCUCCUAGAUGAAAAACAUGCCCUUGUCUUCCUUCACGAACUCACUCAACAAGUAUUUAUGGAGCAUCAGGCAGUGUCCUGGCCAGGAGCCAGCAAACAACCACCAGCCCUUUGUUUUUGCAAAUGAAGUCUUAUUGGAGCGCAGUCCCAUACGUUUCUUUAUGCCUGUUUUUAUGGCUACUGUAUCCCUACAACCUCAGAGCUGAGUAGUUCCAACAGAGACGGUCAGAUUUGGGAACCAAAAAAUCCUGCUGGGUCCUCAGAGGCCAGAUCAGGUAGGGCCUCCCAGACCACCACAGGGCACAUGGCUUAUUCUUGGAGUGAGGCGGGAAGUCAUGGGAGGGAACCGAGCAGAAAAGCAGUGUAACUUGAGUUAAGUUUUUUGGUUUGUUUUUAAGUCUAUGUGUUUUGAGAGAGCGAGCAGGGGAGGGGCAGAGAGAGAAUCCCAAACAGUCUCCGCAUUGUCAGCGCAGAGCCCGAUGCAGGGCUUGAACUCACGAACCGUGAGAUCAUGACUUGAGCCAAAAUCAAGAUUUGGGACGCUUAACUGACUGAGCCACCCAGGCGCCCCUUGAAUUAGGUUUUAACAGGUCACUCUGGCUGCUGGAUGGAGAAUAGACCGUGGGCUUGGCAGUGGGAGGGGCAGCAGAAGCAGGGUAUGAUAAGAUCAAAGCAAAACAGGGUUAUGACUAAAAGGGCUAAUAUCAGCCUUGACUGCAAAGUGGACCCAGGGUAGUGAAGUGACCGGACUAUUGUGCUCAGAAAGCCCUUAUCUGCAGCUCUGUACCUGUGUUGGAAAUCAAGGUAACUUCUCCCAUCUUCUAGGAGAGAGACAGGUGCUUCCUUGGUAGUGAUAUCAUUUCAGACUGCAGAUUUUCUAUAAUUUUAGAAAGCAAAAUUCUCAGUGAGUAAGAAAGGGGCAGUCAAUCAAAGAAGGAGGUGACUUUGGUGCCUUACAGGUACGGAGUAUCCUUGGGAGAAAUCUCGUUUCCUGUUAGCUUUGCAAUUAGUGUUGUUGUGUCUGUUAUCCCAGCCUGAAGAAUGGCCAGGCUGAGUGUUUCCUCUCUUGGUCUGAAUCUAAUUUCUGCUUACUCACAAUUAAGGAUCAUUUACUGCAUUUCCUUGUCCUGAGCCUUAAGUGUCUUUUAAUGGACAGUCCCCCAUUUUUUUUUAAACUUUUUUUUUUUUUAAUUUAUUUUUGGGACAGAGAGAGACAGAGCAUGAACGGGGAGGGGCAGAGAGAGAGGGAGACACAGAAUCGGAAACAGGCUCCAGGCUCCGAGCCAUCAGCCCAGAGCCCGACGCGGGGCUCGAACUCGCGGACCGCGAGAUCGUGACCUGACUGAAGUCGGACGCUUAACCGACUGCGCCACCCAGGCGCCCCUACCCCAUUUUUUUUUUAAAUAACAUCAUCUUGCUGAAGAGAAUGAGCCAGUUAUACCAAAUGUCCCACAUCCCGGAUUUCUUUUGUUUCUUCGUUGGUGUGGUUGAAUUUGUUCCUCUGUCUCUUAUGUAUUUUGUGAACUUUAGAUCUGAAAGUUUCAUUGGAUUCAGGUUAAUAAAGACGCUUUCUGAAGAGGAUGCUGCUGACAAGGACAGUGUUAAGAGGAUCUGUUUUCCACAUAGACCUUCCACCCGGCUCUCUCCUAGAUAUUCAAGCAAGAGAAAUGAAAAUGGAUGUCCACACAAAGACUUGUACUUGGAGGGGCAUUAUUCAUAAUGUCCCCAAACUGGAUAUUUGGGACGAGCCAAAUAUCAACAGGUGAACGGGAAACAAUUUGCAAUACAUCCAUAUGGCGAUUACCGCUCAGCAAUGAAAAGGAGCUACACCUUAGAUCCGUCUCAGAAUCACCGUGCUGAGUAAAAGAAACCAGAUGCGAAGGGCCACCUGCUGUAUACGGUGACUGAAAGCAGACCACUAACUGCCUGGAACCUGGGAAAGGAGGAAUUGACUGGAAGGUUGCAGCAGGAGGGAACAUUCCAGAAUGAUGGACAUUUCCUUCCUAUAUCUCGAAUAUGGUGGGGAUGAUACAGGCAUAUAUGUCAGAACUCAUCACAGUGGCUACUUUAAAUGGGUGUGUUGUAUUGCAUUCAAUUAUAUCCCGGUGGGGUUUCGAGCAAAAGAGAAUCUGUGUAGAUCUCUGCUUCUGUGUGUUCUCUCUCCUAAAACCCAUAUGCCUGUGAAAGUGCCCGAGGUCCAAGGUGUUCCCUCCUUUACAGUUGUCCUUCCUCCACUGCACAGAAGUAAGGCAAUCCUUGUCACUCUUGUCAGGACCUACUGAGGAUGUAGUCGUUCUCCAGUAUAAAAACCUGGAUGCCAGACAAAAGCAUCAUGUGAAAUCACCGUGUGUGGCUAAGGAAAGAGAAUGACCCCAGAGACCAGCCAACACAUCCUUUUGCAGUUCUGAUGGUUUCCUCUCUCCCUCCAAUCUCCAUGGAGGAGGCAUGGCUUGUUGGGUGAUAGAUGACUACAAAUAAUUUCUGAUAAUGAGUGACAAUGUGAUAUGUGACAAAUUACACAGGAGUUUCAACAUGUGUGACCUUGAGUCACUUAGCAAUGACAAAAUUUCCAUUCCAGUCCCCUGUUUCUGUGAAAACAUUUCUCAGUAUUUACUACAGUAAAAACAAAACAUUGGAAUAACACUUAUCCUAAAACUCUGUCUCAUUCCAGCCAUGAGGAAUACGUAUCCACAGGUAGAUGAACCUGAAACACACACACACACACACACACACACACACACACACACACACACACACACACACACACACACACACACCACCAGCCCCAUUCAUCUCAUUAAAAGCCUCAUUUAGGGGACACCUGGGUGGCUCAGUUGGUUAAGCAAACAACUUAGGCUCAGGUCAUGAUCUCACGGUUCUUGAAUUCGAGCCCCAUGUCGGGCUCUGAGCUGUCAGCAUAGAACCUGCUUCGGAUUCUGUGUCUCCCUCUCUCUCUGGCCUUCCCCCACUCGUACUCUGUCUCUUUCUCUCUGUCUCUCUCUUUCUCCCCAAAAUAAAUUAAAAAAAAUUUUUUUGAAGCUCCAUUUAGAAUGAAACAUUUUAUAUGUUGUACAUCUGAAACUAGUAUCACACUGUAUGUUAACUAACUAGAAUUUAAAUAAAAACAUUUAGGGGCGCCUGGGUGGCUCAGUCGGUCAAGCGGCCGACUUCGGCUCAGGUCAUGAUCUCGCG
Molecule: long non-coding RNA, 8937 nt
Filed under: Lynx pardinus (Iberian lynx)
Lineage: Eukaryota; Metazoa; Chordata; Mammalia; Carnivora; Felidae
Source: RNAcentral